CUAAGUUGUUGGUUAUUAUCUAUCUAGCGGUAGCUAAUAUAUGUGUGUGGGAGUCACAUAGGAUAGGGCUUGUGCAGGACCUCCAGCAACUAUGAAAUGGGAGUUUGCUUGGCGUUUGAGUUACGUAAUCUAGUCACCUUGCUUCCCAGAGCUUGGUCAUGGCACACUGCCUUGAUAUAGUUCCUAUUUUUGUUACAGACAUCCUCCCCUUUUCUUUUCUUUUCUCAGCUUUAGGCUUGGUUGAAUGCGCUUUUUUACUGUAUUAAGAUUGCUGUCUAUAAUCACCCAAUGUAUUUGGCUCUUAUAGAAUUAGAUACACAAAUCGUUCAAUACAUAAUAAAUUCACCACGAACAAAACUGCAGCACUUAUCUCUGAGCAUUCAUGGUACUAAAACAUCAGCAGCCUUAAUAGUAUCGAAGAUUUGUACAAUUGCCGCCGCAUGUUGCUUUGAGUCCAUGUAAUCUGACACCAUCGGUGUCAGUGAUGGUUGAUUGAUUGACACCAUAUAUGUCAUGAUGUACACACCAACCACCCGCAGAGCAUAUAUCUUUCUUUGACCCUUUUGCUGACCUGUAUGAAGAGCAUUCAGAGAGUAACUGAGUAGUUGCUCAUCUGUCUGAUGAUCCUGCUCCAUAGUUUGCUGUUGAGGCUUUG
This 655-nucleotide small RNA is filed under the name Histoplasma capsulatum. RNAcentral's name for it is "hypothetical RNA". RNAcentral also lists the same sequence under 1 other name. Lineage: Eukaryota; Fungi; Ascomycota; Eurotiomycetes; Onygenales; Ajellomycetaceae. The record is from RNAcentral.